Molecule: RNA transcript, 4037 nt
Organism: Trichechus manatus latirostris (Florida manatee)
Lineage: Eukaryota; Metazoa; Chordata; Mammalia; Sirenia; Trichechidae
Gene: FAF2
Gene name: Fas associated factor family member 2
Exons: 11
Source: RefSeq, a predicted model, not a curated record
CGUAGAGGCGGCGGCAAAAUGGCGGCUCCUGAGGAGCAGGAUCUAACCCAGGAGCAGACAGAGAAGCUGCUACAGUUUCAGGAUCUGACUGGCAUAGAAUCUAUGGAUCAGUGUCGCCAUACCUUGGAACAGCAUAACUGGAACAUAGAGGCUGCUGUACAGGACAGAUUGAAUGAGCAAGAGGGUGUACCAAGUGUUUUCAACCCACCUCCUUCCCGACCCCUGCAGGUUAAUACAGCAGACCACAGGAUCUACAGCUAUGUUGUCUCAAGACCACAACCAAGGGGGCUGCUUGGAUGGGGUUAUUACUUGAUAAUGCUUCCAUUCCGGUUUACCUAUUACACGAUACUUGAUAUAUUUAGGUUUGCUCUUCGUUUUAUACGGCCAGACCCUCGCAGCCGGGUCACUGACCCCGUUGGGGACAUUGUUUCGUUUAUGCACUCUUUUGAAGAGAAAUAUGGGAGGGCACACCCUGUCUUCUACCAGGGAACGUACAGCCAGGCACUUAAUGAUGCCAAGCGGGAGCUUCGCUUUCUUUUGGUUUAUCUUCAUGGCGAUGAUCACCAGGACUCUGAUGAGUUUUGCCGCAACACACUCUGUGCACCCGAAGUUAUUUCACUCAUUAACACUAGGAUGCUCUUCUGGGCAUGCUCCACAAACAAACCUGAGGGAUACAGGGUAUCCCAGGCUUUGCGAGAGAACACAUAUCCAUUCCUGGCCAUGAUUAUGCUAAAGGAUCGGAGAAUGACUGUGGUGGGACGGUUAGAAGGCCUCAUUCAACCUGAUGACCUCAUUAACCAACUGACAUUUAUCAUGGAUGCGAACCAGACUUACUUGGUGUCAGAACGCCUAGAAAGGGAAGAAAGAAACCAGACCCAGGUACUGAGACAGCAGCAGGAUGAGGCAUAUCUGGCUUCUCUCAGAGCUGACCAGGAGAAAGAAAGAAAGAAACGGGAGGAGCGGGAACGCAAGCGACGGAAGGAAGAGGAGGUGCAGCAGCAAAAGCUGGCAGAGGAGAGACGGCGACGGAAUUUACAAGAGGAAAAGGAAAAGAAGUUGGAGUGCCUGCCUCCUGAGCCUUCCCCUGAUGACCCUGAAAGUGUCAAGAUCAUUUUUAAAUUACCCAAUGAUUCUCGAGUAGAGAGACGAUUCCACUUUUCACAGUCUCUAACAGUAAGGGCCCCCUAAGUUGUGUGAACUGUAUGUAGAGUCCAGGCUGUGGAUUUGGAGACUUUUACAGACUCUCGGGAGUGUUGUUGGUGUUUCUGCUGCCCUGAUGAACAGGGAAGGAACAGAAAGACAGACAGACAGAUAGAUAAACGAUGUCAGUGGACACAGGAGGAAUGUAGUGAACUGUUAUAGAUUCCUUCAGUUGUUGCUACCAACUCAAAUCAAUUAUUAAGGUUUUCUUUCAUCCAUCAUAAUGUUUGAACUCUGCACAAGACUUGUGUGUUUGAGGGUGAGAGAGUCUUCCGUGCUGCUCUUCUUGCACUGGCUUUAGAAUCCCACCAAAACCCCUUGCUCUAUAGAGAAAACUCUGCCUCCAGUGACCUAGAAGCACCUGAAUUACACACCUGUAUAUCAGGGCACGUGCAGUUUGGAUGCAGUUGCAAUCAUUUCUCUCCCUUUCUACCCAUGGUCACUUCUUGAGGCUACCGUACAUAUUUGGUAUCCAUAAAAAAAAACCAAACUAGUGGUCACUGAGUCAGUUCUGACUCAUGUAGACCCAGUGUAUUGCAGAGUAGAACUGUGCUGUGACCUUUCAGAAGCAGAUCACCAGGCCUGUCUUCCAACGCCCUCUAGGUGGGUGCAAACCACCAACUUUUUGGUUAGUUGUUGAGCACUUAACUGUUUGCGCCCCCUAGGGACUCAUUGCUAUCCAUAGGUAAACAGUAUUUUGUUUUUCCAUAGUCUUCUCCUUUCUCUUAAAAGGAAUGGAAAGUAGUCAAAAGCAAAGAGUCUGAGCCUCACAGAAUGAGAGUCAAAUUCUAAUUCUUCCAAGGCUACCAGAUAUGUUUUCUUGAUCACUUUACUUAAUCCAGUAGCUUCGAUUUCCUCAUAAACAAAAGAAAGUUUUUGUUUAUAUUGUGAGUUGGUAAGCUACCUUCCCAAAUUUACAGCUGUAGUAGAUUCUGCUAUUUCCCUGAUCAUCCGAGAUAAUCAAGAGUAAAUUGUGUAAUAAAAAUGAAGAUGUACUAUAGUCUUGUAAGGCUGGGUAGUACAUUCUUUGAUUCUCCUUAUUUAACUGAAGAACAUAAAACAUUAACUCACUAGUUAAAAAUCUUUUACAAUGCCUCAGAUUUCCCAUCUGUGAAAUGGACAGAUAACCUGCCCUCUAAUAACUUUAAACUGAAGAUAAGUGUCUGUGAGGCUCUGUGCUAGGUACAGUAGGGAUUAUGCAGAUGAAUAAGACAUAGUUCUGGCCAGUAGGGAAUGUAAGACUCAAAAGAUCUAACCCAGAGUACAGGGUUAUGUGGCAUCCUGGUGACAGAAAAGCAAAUAGCUUUCUCAUUUCAUUUGUUUAUCUCUUCAUUUAUGAAUUAUUUAUAUUGGAGGGGUACUCACAUCUCAAAUUUUGGAUUUUUUUUUUUAAUUGGGAUAACAAGAAUGUGCCUCACACAGCACCUACAUGUAGUAGGUGGUCAUUAAAUGUUAAUCCCCUUCCAUAGAAUCCACAUGGAAACCAGUGGUUAGAAAAGCCUGCUGUGACCACUGGUUUGCAUAAGGAUUCUAGCCUGCAGCCAUGUUUAUUAGCAAUUUCACUGUCCUCGUUUUGGGGUAUAGCCACAGGCGCCUGAGUUUUAUGGAACUUCUACAUCCAAAGCUCCCAUAGGUAAAAAUAUAUGUGAAAAUGUAACUAAAAUUUACUCUCCUGAGAGUUUUUGAGGAGAAAUCUAGUUUAAUUGUGGAACAGAAUGGGUUUGUGGCCAGAAGAAGCCUUUUGUUAACUGUUUAAUUGUUUAAAAAAAGACCUGAGACUGAGAGAAGUGUUUGAUCAUAAACAAGACCAGGCUCAGAGAUGUCAGCGAAGUGUGAAGGAGGAGUAGUGUAGUGGCAGAGCUGGCCUUUACUACUCGUAGAGAUCAUAACAUAACCAAAUAAUGUACAGUUCUUCAGUGCUCUUAUCUUACUGUGUACUCUCCCCGCUGUAAAUUAUCCUAAGGGGUGAAUGUACAAUGAAACGUUCAAUUUGCAGAUGCUAGUCGGCUCUUGAUAGUGGUGAAAUGCUAAAACAAAAAACGAUAAACUGUAGGAAAAUCUCCAGGUUUUAUGAGUGAGCAGGAAUGUGGCAGCUGACUUUCUUUUGAAUGAGUGCGUAGGAGAGAGGAUCCAAAUACUAUUCAUUUUUCUAUCUAUUACAAACCAAAAAGAACCUCUGGGGGUAUGUAAUCCAUUAGCUUGAGAUAUCAACCCAUUGUCAAUGGCAAACGAAAAAUGCCAGCUUUGAAUGUUGGAUAUUCUCUAGCAAUAAUUGAAACAGAAAAUAUUAUUUCAUCCUUAUAUAAAAUCUGCGUUAGGUUUGUGCCAAGAAUACUUCGUGUGAGUCAGAUUGGUGCAUCUGAAGAAAAGAAAAGUGAACAUCAUGAAAAUUACAAAGAGUCAGAGAAAAUGAUUGAGGCUGAUAGGAGACUGAAAUAUGAGAAGUUUACAAAAUCAUGGAUUAGAUUAAAAGAACAUGAAUUUACUCCCUAAAUUCUAGAGUUGUAGCCCCUUAAAAUCUCUAAAGAGGUAAGUUUAAGACAAAGGAAGGACAGCAUCACACAGAGGGGAAGAAACUUAGAGAACCCAUCCCAUCAUUCUGAAAGAUGGACCAAAAAGAAAAUAGAAAUCGCUUCCCACGAAAGAGAAGGAUAAAAGCUUGCGUAACGUUUCCUAAUCUUGGAGUUGGCCAGAAAGAGGUAAUCCAUGACUUCUUAUUCUCCUUGAAAGAAAGUCCUGAAAAGUUUCAGAUCGAAGCCAACUUCCCCCGACGGGUGCUGCCCUGUGUCCCCUCAGAGGAGUGGCCCAAUCCCCCUACACUGCAGGAGGCCGGACUC